GGGGGAGAAUGGGCAUCCCACCCCAGCACUUUCUAGGAAGAAGGGCAACAUUUUGAAGGGCUGGAAGUAGAGAAAGAAGGUUGCGGGUAGAAGACUCCAUACUUUCUGUGACGCCUAUUCCUUAGGAAUCAAGCCUAUCUGUAAUCACAGGGCUAUUUGAAAAAGAGAAGAAAAGGUGUCUUGAAAUUAAACCAACAUGUUUCAAUUAUUUGCUCCUAAGAACAACAGAAGUUUCAACAUUCUGCCAACACAGUAACUCCUGGGAGAUUGGCACAGAAGAAGGCACAAGAAUAUUUAAGCAGCUUUGUCUGCCUUAGACCUUCCACCUAAAAGUACAGCAAGUGGAAUGGAAUGCUAAUAUGAGGAUCCAAAUUUUCAGGGAAGGAGGAGAGCUUUUAUAUAACCAAAGAUAUUUUUGGACCAUGAAUUCGGAAAUUCUCGGAGCCACCCAUCAAUGCCUGAGCUUCAGUGAGUCCAUAUCCCAUGUCACCUACGGCAAAGGAGAAUCUGAGACUUCUGAAGAGUUUCUUGCUUCUUUCCUGUGGGGCAGUGACUCCACUUCCCAGCAGUAAUGGAAUAUCCUGAAUUAGCUACAUUAAUGUUAGAACCAUUUGGACCUCACCCAGGACUUCAACUACAUUGUGAGUAACUCCUGGACGACUGGCACAGAAGAAGGCACAAGGCAAAUACCCAUCUCUGUACACCCUGUGCUACUGUGUCAUGUGCUGCUCCAGGCAACUCCAAUGGAUUGGCCACCCUGGCCAAUGUGUUCUAGUAUGUUAGGUUUAUGUUCCCCUGCUUUCUACAAUCCUGUUCAAAGAGUUGCUGACUUAACCACAG
RNAcentral lists this non-coding RNA (840 nucleotides) under Pongo abelii (Sumatran orangutan). The record is from RNAcentral. Lineage: Eukaryota; Metazoa; Chordata; Mammalia; Primates; Hominidae.